UUUUCUUUCUUUCUUUCUUUCUUUUUUUCUCUCUCUCUAUUUUUCUCUCUUUCUCUCUUUCUUUCCCUCCCCCUCUCUCCCUCAUCCCCAUGAUGGCUGCCCAUCUCACCAUUGCCGACAGACACUACCGGUGACUCCACUACAGUGGCACCAUUGUUGGCGAUGCCACUGUCGAUCAAUAGUCUCCUCCACCGCCGGCGGCUACCCUUCAUCUCCGACCAUAUCUUCCAUCUCUCUAUAUUUCUCUCCCUCUCUUUUUUCACUCCACCCCGACACUCAUUAUUUCCACUUUCAUUUUGGAGGCUUUAAAAAAAUGGUGUUUUGGCACUGUGCUGAGAAUUGGAGAAACAUGGAAGCAGUUGGGGCAAGUGAAGAUAAGGCAUGAGUUGAGCUAGCUGAGGACUAGAACUUUUGGAUUAAAAAGGAAAAAAAAUGAGCAGAAAAGGCAGAGAGAGGGGGGGUGACGCCUUUGGAAGGACGAGAUAUCCCUCUAUGUGUAUUUUUCUGUGAGUGUUUGAGAGUUGGGAUUUUUUUUAGCUUCAUUUUGAAAGCUUUUGAGGGCCAUUACUAUUAUUGGGACUGCACUUCUAAGGUUAUUUAAUAAUCCUUGUCCUAAUUUUUGUUGUAUAUAUUUGUUUUAAUUUUUUCCCUAUAUAAUGGACUUGUUUAGAUUUUUAUUGUGAAUAUCCAUUUAAUUUGUUAUUCAUGGAUUUGUUUUA
Vitis vinifera (wine grape) is the source of this 719-nucleotide long non-coding RNA. RefSeq lists it as uncharacterized. The record is from RefSeq and is a predicted model, not a curated record. NCBI's taxonomy places the organism in Eukaryota, Viridiplantae, Streptophyta, Magnoliopsida, Vitales, Vitaceae. The transcript is spliced from 2 exons.